This 284-nucleotide ribosomal RNA is filed under the name uncultured bacterium. Its description in RNAcentral is "partial 16S ribosomal RNA". It matches the Rfam family "Bacterial small subunit ribosomal RNA", at positions 333 to 614 of the family's 1533-position model. The record is from RNAcentral.
GCAGACCUACGGGGCGCAGCAGUGAGGAAUAUUGGUCAAUGGGCGGGAGCCUGAACCAGCCAAGUCGCGUGAAGGAAGAAGGUACUUAGUAUUGUAAACUUCUUUUGUCGGGGAACAAAGGCGGAGACGCGUCUCCGGAUGAGUGUACCCGAAGAAAAAGCAUCGGCUAACUCCGUGCCAGCGGCCGCGGUAAUACGGAGGAUGCGAGCGUUAUCCGGAUUUAUUGGGUUUAAUGGGUGCGCAGGCGGGAGAUCAAGUCAGCGGUGACAUGUCGGGGCUCCACC